Molecule: ribosomal RNA, 253 nt
Filed under: uncultured bacterium
Lineage: Bacteria
Description: partial 16S ribosomal RNA
Rfam family: Bacterial small subunit ribosomal RNA
Source: RNAcentral
UACGGAGGGUGCAAGCGUUAUCCGGAUUUACUGGGUUUAAAGGGUGCGUAGGUGGGUCCGUAAGUCAGUGGUGAAAUCUCCGGGCUUAACCCGGAAACUGCCAUUGAUACUAUAGGUCUUGAAUAUCCUGGAGGUGAGCGGAAUAUGUCAUGUAGCGGUGAAAUGCUUAGAUAUGACAUAGAACACCAAUUGCGAAGGCAGCUCACUACGGGAUUAUUGACACUGAGGCACGAAAGCGUGGGGAUCAAACAGG